RNAcentral lists this ribosomal RNA (253 nucleotides) under uncultured bacterium. RNAcentral's name for it is "partial 16S ribosomal RNA". It matches the Rfam family "Bacterial small subunit ribosomal RNA", at positions 524 to 776 of the family's 1533-position model. The record is from RNAcentral.
UACGGAGGAGGCAAGCGUUAUCCGGAAUUAUUGGGCGUAAAGCGUCCGUAGGUGGCUAGUCAAGUCUGCGGUCAAAGACUGGGGCUUAACCCUGGAAAGGCCGUGGAAACUGACGAGCUAGAGUGCAGUAGGGGUAGAGGGAAUUCCCGGUGUAGCGGUGAAAUGCGCAGAUAUCAGGAGGAACACCGGUGGCGAAGGCGGCUCACUGGACCGGUACUGACGCUGAUGCGCGAAAGCGUGGGGAGCAAACGGG